This 440-nucleotide ribosomal RNA is filed under the name uncultured bacterium. Its description in RNAcentral is "partial 16S ribosomal RNA". It matches the Rfam family "Bacterial small subunit ribosomal RNA", at positions 338 to 795 of the family's 1533-position model. The record is from RNAcentral.
CCUACGGGGGGCAGCAGUAGGGAAUAUUGCACAAUGGGGGAAACCCUGAUGCAGCAACGCCGCGUGGGGGAUGAAGGUUUUCGGAUUGUAAACCCCUUUUGUUAGAGAAGAUAAUGACGGUAUCUAACGAAUAAGCAACGGCUAACUCCGUGCCAGCAGCCGCGGUAAUACGGAGGGUGCGAGCGUUACCCGGAUUCACUGGGCGUAAAGGGCGCGUAGGCGGGUUAGCAAGUCAGAUGUGAAAUCCUCUGGCUUAACCUUAGAGCUGCAUUUGAAACUGUUAAUCUAGAGUAUGGGAGAGGUAAGUAGAAUUCUUGGUGUAGGGGUAAAAUCCGUAGAGAUCAAGAGGAAUACUCAUGGCGAAGGCGACCUGCUAGAACAUAACUGACGCUGAUGCGCGAAAGCGUGGGGAGCAAACAGGAUUAGAUACCCCAGUAGUC